RNAcentral lists this ribosomal RNA (242 nucleotides) under uncultured bacterium. Its description in RNAcentral is "partial 16S ribosomal RNA". It matches the Rfam family "Bacterial small subunit ribosomal RNA", at positions 28 to 254 of the family's 1533-position model. The record is from RNAcentral.
GAUGAACGCUGGCGGCGUGCCUAACACAUGCAAGUCGAACGGAGUUAUGCAGAGGAAGUUUUCGGAUGGAAUCGGCGUAACUUUAGUGGCGGACGGGUGAGUAACGCGUGGGAAACUGCCUGUACCGGGGAUAACACUUAGAAAUAGGUGCUAAUACCGCAUAAGCGCACAGCUUCACAUGAAGCAGUGUGAAAACUCCGGUUGGUACAGGAAUGGUCCCGCGUCUGAUUAGCCAGUUGGCA